CACAGCCGCCCUGUCGUCCUCCCUGCCCUUCGACAGACCCACUCGUCAGGCCACAACCCCCAUAUAAAGCCGCAGUAAUCUGCCCAAGAGAAAGCCUCAAGCAUGCGCCGUCUGUCUAGCCAGCUUAUGUGCACCGCUGCCGCGGCCCGCUUCGCGUCCGCCGGCGGCGCGAAGAAGUACGACCUGUUCGGCUACGAGGUGGACACGAACACGGCGCUGUGGAUCGACAAGGUGAAGAAGUGCCGCUACUACGACGAGGCCGGCGAGGUGCUGGUGAACAUGAACGUGAAGAACUGCCCGCCGGAUCUGGAGACGUACAACGCGACGCUGCAGAAGAUCUACGAAGCGCCGAGCAAGCAGGACAAGCCAGUGGAGAACGAGAGCAAGUUCUGCGCGAUGAUGGACCUGAUGGAGGAGAUGCAGCACCGCAACAAGGUGAAGCCGAACGAGGAGUCGUGGACGUGGGUGUUGAAGGAGUGCGUGCAGAGCGGGCAGUUCCGCCUCGGCUACUGCGUUGCGAAGCUGAUGGAGGCUGAGUUCAAGCGGGUGCCGGCGGAGCUUGUGCAGCAGAACGAGGCAAACGCUUCGAAGGCGAAGGCGGACGGCAAGGAGCACCCGAGCACGCUGGCGCAGCAGCAGAGCCUGUUCGAUAUCAAGAUCCAGUAAAAUGUAGUGACUUCGGACUGAUCACGGUGAAUUGAUAAGCAGCAGAUGAGGGACAGUUGGCGCCAUGUGGGUACAUGAGUACGCUGAUGUUUGGGUUUGUGUGGGUGUGGGUGUGUUUGCGUAUAUGUGCGUAUCGUCUUCAUCCUUCUGUCCUCUUUUCUCUACGUCGCGCACACAUGUCCACCCGCUGCCCUCUCCAUACUGCCUAGCUGUGGAGCCCUUUAUGCGGUGAACCUUGUAGACGAUGACAGCCCCCAUUUCCUUCCCCGCGUUGCGUGUUCAUAUAUAUCCAUCUCCUCCUAACCUCCUCUCGCCGCGCCGUUUUUGAGUUGUGUGUGAUCUGGGAGACGAGGCAAUGGAGAGGCGGAAGCGACGGGGUGCUGGGGGAGGAAAGCGCGCGCACACACGCGUGUGAACACUACAAGUCGCUCGUCUCUCCGUCUGCGUGGAUGAAGCGCGUGCAGGAAGUGCACGUGACCUUUGUUUUGUGUGUAGGAAGGCACGCGCCACCUCGCAUCGAUGACGACGGCGCCGGGCGCACCGAAGCGAAAGGGAAAGGGAGGCCAUGGCAGCGGAGGGAUAGCAAGUGAGGAGAGCAAUGAAUGGAGCGGGUGGGGGACGCUAGUGUCUCUGUCUGAAAGUUCGUGUAGAAAGCGUAACGGGGGCGGGUAGCAGGGCCAACGGCUUCGGGAGGUGCGUCUCUGCUACUCCCUCACCACUUACGCCCCCCCCCCACUCCCUACGCACACACUCUCGCUCACCCCAUCGCUCUUGCACACGCACACACACCACGCUGCCAUUCUCUCCUUUUCUUUUGUUAGUCCCCUAUUGUUUUGUUCUGUAGGCAUAAUGAAGGGAGUGUU
Molecule: unclassified non-coding RNA, 1529 nt
Filed under: Leishmania donovani
Lineage: Eukaryota; Euglenozoa; Kinetoplastea; Trypanosomatida; Trypanosomatidae
Description: gene:unknown
Source: RNAcentral